UCGGGAAUUUUGGGCAAUGGGCGAAAGCCUGACCCAGCAACGCCGCGUGAAGGAUGAAGUAUUUCGGUAUGUAAACUUCGAAAGAAUAGGAAGAAUAAAUGACGGUACUAUUUAUAAGGUCCGGCUAACUACGUGCCAGCAGCCGCGGUAAUACGUAGAGACCAAGCGUUGUUCGGAUUUACUGGGCGUAAAGGGCGCGUAGGCGGCAAUUCAAGUCAUCUGUGAAAUCUCCGGGCUUAACUCGGAACGGUCAGAUGAUACUGCUUUGCUAGAGUGCAGAAGGGGCAAUCGGAAUUCUUGGUGUAGCGGUGAAAUGCGUAGAUAUCAAGAGGAACACCUGAGGUGAAGACGGGUUGCUGGGCUGACACUGACGCUGAGGCGCGAAAGCCAGGGGAGCAAACGGGAUUAGAUACCCCCGUAGUCCCUGAGCGGGCUGGCAAGGCGCAU
Molecule: ribosomal RNA, 447 nt
Filed under: uncultured bacterium
Lineage: Bacteria
Description: bacterial SSU rRNA
Rfam family: Bacterial small subunit ribosomal RNA
Source: RNAcentral